Molecule: ribosomal RNA, 375 nt
Filed under: Gastrotheca riobambae (Riobamba marsupial frog)
Lineage: Eukaryota; Metazoa; Chordata; Amphibia; Anura; Hemiphractidae
Description: partial 16S ribosomal RNA
Source: RNAcentral
CAAAGCUUAUUCGUACUCUUAUUUUAAAUUUCCUCACCAUUAAUUAACCCUUCAACAAUACUGAGUAAUUCUAUACUGCUAUAGAAAUUUUUAUGUUAAAACUAGUAACAAGAAGAAGCCCUUCUCUUAAAUGCGCCCGUAAAUCAGAAAGGACCCCCCACUGAUAAUUAACGCCUAUGACCCUAAAGUAAAAACUUAUCUAGAAAAACUUACUAAACGCGCCGUAAACCUAACACAAGAGCAUUUCAAGAAAGAUUAAAAGAAAAAGAAGGAACUCGGCAAAUAUUAGCCCCGCCUGUUUACCAAAAACAUCGCCUCUUGAAAAACAUAAGAGGUCCAGCCUGCCCAGUGACACUGUUCAACGGCCGCGGUAUC